AGUAGGGAAUUUUUCACAAUGGGCGAAAGCCUGAUGGAGCAAUGCCGCGUGACUGAUGAAGGCCUUCGGGUUGUAAAGGUCUGUUGUAAGGAAAGAAUAGUAAGAAUAGGAAAUGAUUCUUAUUUGACGGUACUUUACCAGAAAGCCACGGCAAACUAUGUGCCAGCAGCCGCGGUAAUACAUAGGUGGCAAGCGUUAUCCGGAUUUAUUGGGCGUAAAGGGUGCGUAGGCGGUAAUAUAAGUCUAAGGUUAAAGAUCGAAGCUCAACUUCGAUUUGCCUUGGAAACUGUAUAACUAGAGUACAGGAGAGGUUAGUGGAAUUCCAUGUGUAGCGGUGAAAUGCGUAGAUAUAUGGAGGAACACCAGUGGCGAAGGCGACUAACUGGCCUGUAACUGACGCUGAGGCACGAAAGCAGGAGUAUCAAAUAGGAUUAGAUACCCUAGUAGUUCCUGCCGUAAACGAUGAGUACUAAGUGUCGGCUUUAAUGUCGGUGCUGUAGCUAACGCAUUAAGUACUCCGCCUGAGUAGUAUGCUCGCAAGAGU
Molecule: ribosomal RNA, 544 nt
Filed under: uncultured bacterium
Lineage: Bacteria
Description: bacterial SSU rRNA
Rfam family: Bacterial small subunit ribosomal RNA
Source: RNAcentral